This 349-nucleotide unclassified non-coding RNA is filed under the name soil metagenome. Its description in RNAcentral is "partial contains 5.8S ribosomal RNA, internal transcribed spacer 2, and large subunit ribosomal RNA". The stretch from base 1 to 119 matches the Rfam family "5.8S ribosomal RNA", at positions 35 to 154 of the family's 154-position model. The record is from RNAcentral.
GAUGAAGAACGUAGCGAAAUGCGAUAAGUAAUGCGAAUCGCAGAAUCCGUGAGUCAUCGAAUCUUUGAACGCACAUUGCGCCCUCUGGUAUUCCGGAGGGCAUGCCUGUUCGAGCGUCAUUAUCACCCCUCAAGCCCGGCUUGUUGUUGGAUGCAGCGCUUAUCCCGCUCCUCCCAAAGAUAAUGACGGCGUCUGCGACGACUCCUGUACACUGAGCUUUCGGGCACGUACACGGCUAGAAGUCCAGACCCGGUCGCCGUCCCCCCCGCGGGGACACCCAUUACCACAAGGUUGACCUCGGAUCAGGUAGGAAUACCCGCUGAACUUAAGCAUAUCAAUAAGCGGAGGA